GUGUCCCCCACUGGAGAGAGGCGCUCACCAAGAGCGCCCACCGAAGGAGCAAAUGCGGCAUCGCCCGCGUGAAUCUCUCAGGUAAAGCGGACAGUGAGGCAGCC
RNAcentral lists this non-coding RNA (104 nucleotides) under Hydrogenophaga crassostreae. RNAcentral's name for it is "Glycine riboswitch aptamer". It matches the Rfam family "Glycine riboswitch aptamer". From Rfam's summary of the family: This family represents the bacterial glycine riboswitch. Lineage: Bacteria; Pseudomonadati; Pseudomonadota; Betaproteobacteria; Burkholderiales; Comamonadaceae. RNAcentral also lists the same sequence under 1 other name. The record is from Rfam by way of RNAcentral.